This 506-nucleotide ribosomal RNA is filed under the name uncultured bacterium. RNAcentral describes it as "partial 16S ribosomal RNA". It matches the Rfam family "Bacterial small subunit ribosomal RNA", at positions 29 to 523 of the family's 1533-position model. The record is from RNAcentral.
AUUGAACGCUGGCGGCAGGCCUAACACAUGCAAGUCGGACGGUAGCACAGAGGAGCUUGCUCCUCGGGUGACGAGUGGCGGACGGGUGAGUAAUGUCUGGGGAUCUGCCCGAUAGAGGGGGAUAACCACUGGAAACGGUGGCUAAUACCGCAUAACGUCGCAAGACCAAAGAGGGGGACCUUCGGGCCUCUCACUAUCGGAUGAACCCAGAUGGGAUUAGCUAGUAGGCGGGGUAACGGCCCACCUAGGCGACGAUCCCUAGCUGGUCUGAGAGGAUGACCAGCCACACUGGAACUGAGACACGGUCCAGACUCCUACGGGAGGCAGCAGUGGGGAAUAUUGCACAAUGGGCGCAAGCCUGAUGCAGCCAUGCCGCGUGUAUGAAGAAGGCCUUCGGGUUGUAAAGUACUUUCAGCGGGGAGGAAGGCGAUAAGGUUAAUAACCUUGUCGAUUGACGUUACCCGCAGAAGAAGCACCGGCUAACUCCGUGCCAGCAGCCGCAGUAA